GAUGAACGCUGGCGGCGUGCCUAAUACAUGCAAGUCGAGCGAACGGACGAGAAGCUUGCUUUUCUGAUGUUAGCGGCGGACGGGUGAGUAACACGUGGAUAACCUACCUAUAAGACUGGGAUAACUUCGGGAAACCGGAGCUAAUACCGGAUAAUAUUAUGAACCGCAUGGUUCAAAAGUGAAAGACGGUCUUGCUGUCACUUAUAGAUGGAUCCGCGCUGCAUUAGCUAGUUGGUAAGGUAACGGCUUACCAAGGCAACGAUGCAUAGCCGACCUGAGAGGGGGAUCGGCCACACGGGAGCUGAGACACGGUCCAGACUCCUACGGGAGGCAGCAGUAGGGAAUCUUCCGCAAUGGGCGAAAGCCUGACGGAGCAACGCCGCGUGAGUGAUGAAGGUCUUCGGAUCGUAAAACUCUGUUAUUAGGGAAGAACAUAUGUGUAAGUAACUGUGCACAUCUUGACGGUACCUAAUCAGAAAGCCACGGCUAACUACGUG
Molecule: ribosomal RNA, 497 nt
Filed under: uncultured bacterium
Lineage: Bacteria
Description: partial 16S ribosomal RNA
Rfam family: Bacterial small subunit ribosomal RNA
Source: RNAcentral